GACGUACGCUGGCGGCGUGCUUAACACAUGCAAGUCGAACGGAAAGGCCCUGCUUUUGUGGGGUGCUCGAGUGGCGAACGGGUGAGUAACACGUGAGUAACCUGCCCUUGACUUUGGGAUAACUUCAGGAAACUGGGGCUAAUACCGGAUAGGAGCUCCUGCUGCAUGGUGGGGGUUGGAAAGUUUCGGCGGUUGGGGAUGGACUCGCGGCUUAUCAGCUUGUUGGUGGGGUAGUGGCUUACCAAGGCUUCGACGGGUAGCCGGCCUGAGAGGGUGACCGGCCACAUUGGGACUGAGAUACGGCCCAGACUCCUACGGGAGGCAGCAGUGGGGAAUAUUGCACAAUGGGCGGAAGCCUGAUGCAGCAACGCCGCGUGCGGGAUGACGGCCUUCGGGGUGUAAACCGCUUUCGCCUGUGACGAAGCGUGAGUGACGGUAAUGGGUAAAGAAGCACCGGCUAACUACGUG
This 468-nucleotide ribosomal RNA is filed under the name uncultured bacterium. RNAcentral's name for it is "partial 16S ribosomal RNA". It matches the Rfam family "Bacterial small subunit ribosomal RNA", at positions 28 to 507 of the family's 1533-position model. The record is from RNAcentral.